UUUGUUUUAUCAAGUUCAAUCCAUCAGCAGUCUCUGAGAGUAGAUUGUAACCGAGAGAGGGUUGUUUGUAUGAAAUUACAAACUCUGGCUCAUAUUAUGUGCUUGACUCAUGCCUAAACUUGCCCAAGAUAAGCCUAUUAAAUAACAUUCCAGACAGCAGCUCUGCCCAAGGGAGACACUUGUCACUCCCUUGGAGGACUACCAGUGGGACACAAGUCGGCCGCCCUGAGCUACCCUCAGCUGUCCAGAUGCCUCCUGUGGAAAAUGGUCUCCGAGUAACAGAAAUGCGGAGCAGGCCAUCCCCAUUUCUUCAUGUCUUGGCACGUAUCAGCUGCAAGAGUGAUUCACCUUUUGAUGAAUUUCUGUCUCAGCAAAACAACCAAGGGAAGAGAAAGAAGCAAUUUCAUAUUUAUAUUGGAUUGUGCUUAUACAGGAUGGUUGAAUUCUGCCUUGACAUGGGUGUAAAGCUUUGCCUGUGAACACUGGAGACUCAGUUUCAUGUGAAGGAAUUUUGCCAUUAAUUUUUGUCUUGCACAAGGAUAUGUCUAUUUUAUGGCUACAGAAAGAGAAAGAUGAGAGUUAUUAAUUUCAGUGAAAUCUCAAUUACAGCAGCUACAAAUCUGCUUUAAAUACAUAGCUGAUGCUCUUUCAAAAGCCAUGACUGGGACCUGUCAUAAUUCUGAAUAAUCAUGCUGCCUUUAUAGGGAUAUAUGCAAAUAUUUAUGUGUUAAUUUUUCCAACAUACACACUUGCAAACAAGAUAUGUUGCAUUUCCUUUUUUAAAAACAGCCUGUGUGUAAACUAGCCUGUGCUGAUAUAACCCACUCAUUUUUCUUGGAUAAGCUGGACAUAUUUAGCAAAUGGAUCACAAGUGUGAGUAAGAAGCAAGGCUUGCAAAAUUUCAGAAAGGAUCAGUGGUUCACAGUGGAUGUUUGCACAAAGGCAAGCACAGUCACAAACUGGCAUCCUCCCAAAGUUAUCUGUGUGGAGUCAGUAGGAAGUUCAACAAGCCUGGAUUACACAGGUGAUAAAUGAAUGAUACUUUGAUGUCUCAUGGAUUCUGCUGGGUAGAGCAGAAGAGGCAUAGCACUGUACUUGAUGAACACCCACCACUUCUGCUAUCUCUUGAGUCUCUACCAGUUCUGCAUCCACAUCUUCCGGAUCUCUUGCAUCUUGCACCAAGCUCCCCCAGAAAGGACUGCUUUGUUACCUACUUUUCUCUUGGAAAUGGUAUUGCAGUUCUUAAAACGAAGAGGCAGCUUUGUGCAGCCAGCCACUACAUUGUUUUUACGCACUGCUUAAAUCUCACUAAUACUGUCACAAGGCUUAAGGGACAUUUCAAUCACACACAGACUUCUGUCAGCUUUCCACAGACGUGUGGAUUUCAAGAGAGAAAACAUCUGUAUUUGGAAAGACAGACGUCUCAUUAUAUGUCCUAUCUAGUAAUUAUGUUCUGUUCUAGAUCUUCUGUGGUUCCUGUGCAUCCAGGUGCCAAACUCAGCAGUGAAAGCCAGUAUAGGCAUGCCAGGACUCAAUUUGGGCUAUAGCUUUAAAAGCCAUAUAUGAGGACAUUCCAAGGCACAGACAAGGCUUCCAUCACUGGCGCAUGCAGAAACACUACACUGUUUUAUAAACAGGUGUUUCUUUUUAUACAUAAUACUGUAAAGGCCAUUUUAUCUGCCCAAUAAAAGUUUACAAGACAAUUCCAUUAUACGUUAUAUCAUACAAUAGCAUCACGUAUUUCUGCAGGAUUCUUAUAUCAUGGAUGGAAACUCAAGUGUUUCCUAUAGAAGCUUUUGAGAGCAUUUCUGUUUAGAGAUAUGUUCCUCCUUGUGAAUUUGCAGAUGCAGGUCCAGGAGAAAGAGAGCAAUUUUCUCUUCCCCAACUUGAGCAGUAUUGGACUGUCCUCAUCAGGAAAUGAAAAUGUUCCAAUUGCAUCUGUAUCUCUAGCUGCUCUCUGCACCACAAUCCUUCAGAAACACAAAUCCUCCUAGUGAUCACGAGCAAUACAUUUUGCAUUUGGACCUCGGACUUGGCUGACACUUUUUAAAAAAUAUUAUAUACAUUUUCAGUCAGACAACACCCUGGAGACUAUUACACAUCUGCAGAUGCUGAAGGGCACAAAUUAUUCCUGCUAAGGUCAACAUUACCUUACACUAAAAAAUUGUCUUCCUGAUCAUGGCUUGUACACUGUGAACAAGUGAUGAAUUUUUAUGAUUUCACCACCACCACUUGGUCAUAAUAUGUACCCCUUGGGGAGGAGAAGUGAGGAGGUGGAAAGAGGUCCCAGACCACAUAUAGACACCUAAAAAUCUGCCCUGUUUUGUUUCAUAAAAUCCCACUGAGCCAGAGGAGCCAAAAUUUCACUUGGAAGCUGUUACCAGACUUAAUCACAGUCAAUGUAAGUGAGCCACAAAAUGAAACUCAUGAAAGGAAUGGAAGGAUGUGUUCAGACAGUCCAGAUUUCAGCUCAUGUUCAAAGUCUACUGUUUCCUACCAGCAAGCCAGUUUGGAAGACGCGGAGCCAAGAACAGAUCUGACACCUAAGUGGAAGUUAGUUAGGCAAUUUUAAUAUUGCCCAGAGCUGCUUAGCAGUAAGUGAAAUUCCCCCAGCUGAACCUGUGAGAAGGAUAGACCUUCUAUUCCUUGAAGCAAAACGCUGCCUUAAAAUAUGAUUGAAUUCAGAUGUGGUAUGAAAGACAGAAAAUUUAGAAGUUCCCCAUGACUUUUCUUUAAGCAACUGAAAUAUUAUAUUCACCUACACUGAAAAAUUUCAGCUUGGUCAUUGCAAUACUUAAAGCAGCAUAAAUUUUAAAGAACUCUGCUUCAGAAAUGAAAGCUUAUGCGUUGCAAGCUUUGCAAGAGUCCCAUUCUACUUUUUCCUUCUGAUCUAUAUUCUCAUUAAAAAUGAUACCAUUGCAUGAAAUAUUCUCAUUUCAACUGAAGUGUAUUUUGCAACAAGAAAAAUAGGUCCCUCAAAAAUGUUCUUAUUACCUUUACCCACUUACUAGUGCAUUUCCUUCUUUCUCCAACAGAAGAGGGGUGAACAAAGGAUCGGCUGUUGUUUAAUACUGUAUUACAAGCAUUCAAAAUGCUGAAAUACCAGAAUGCAGGAGACUUAGAGAGGAGCUGGAUUCAGAGGCUGCAGGCAAGAACUUUCUCCUGUUUUGUUAGGGCAGGCAGCAUGUAGAGUCUGGCCCUAAUCAGAUUAGGUUGUGCAUAUUUAUAAACAUCUGAAGACCAUAAAGAAAGGCUCCCAAUUAAAAGAUACUCUGGAUUUACUUCUGCAAGAGUUGCAGAAAAACGUGGUGAUUAGCAUUUCCAUUAGAGACUGCUAUUUGGCACAAAGCAGGCUUGUAGAAAUGGGUCCUCUCUAAACAUCUUUUAUACCAGGGCAUAUCUGCAUUCUAUUCUGAUACAUUGAAAAAAUAUGCCACAUUUUAUCUGCGUGUAUGAAGUUACACUGUGCCAUGUCACCAAGUGGGAUGUAACCCCAUGUAAUAUAAUGCACAUUCGAACAAAACUCUCUUUUCCAUUAUGGGCAGGAGUAAAUUACAGAUAGAAGUUUACCAUAAUUAACCACAAACUGGCAAGAAGGCCUGUUUUCUGUCUUUCUAGAUUACUAUCAAGUUAGCUAAGCUAUUCUCAAGCUUACUUUUAAAAAUAGUUAAGAAUACAAUAAAAGAUAUUUAAUAUGAAUCAUUCUGUGGACAAACAUGCUGCACAAACCAUCCCAUAUAAUUGGAAUAGAGAGUGAACCCGAGAUCCUGGUUAGGUGAGUCCUGUUUGGUGAACAGACUGUGCCGAGCUGUCGUUUCUCAUAAAAAAUGUUUAACUCCUUUUUUGUUUUGUAAAAUCUGUGCUGUUGCUACCCCUUAACAAUAACACUUCAGAACCCACAAGCAGCAGCUGUCUGCAAUGUGUCUCCUGCAGCUGAAAUCACUUCAUCGGUUAUUAUUCCAAAAGACUAAAUAAGGGCAGGCAUUUUCCUAAAAAAUUGAUUUUUAAGGGCUCGGUAUCAAUCGGUUCUUUCUGCCUUUGAUCCUCUGUAAUCAGAGUGCCCAAUAUUUAUAGAAUUCAAUAUGCAGUGCAUUUAAAGAUAUUCCAGACUUCCUUCUGCUCCCAUCAACCACCUAUUUGCUAAGGACAAUCAGCAACUUUUUAUUAACAGAAUGCUUUAUCAGCACGGAAGACAAGCUCGGGGCAGUGCCUCUGUGAGAUUCAGAAGAGGCAGAUCUAGAAAAGUAAGCACUCCCACUGGGCCAUCUGCGUUUCAGUAUUUGUGCAGCAACUCUGAUUAGCGGUACUUCAUUAAAGCACGGGCACUGAGCCUUCCCUGUGCACCAACCUCCACUAUCUCUUGUGGGUCCCAGCCCCACCGCCAGUGUCACAGUGGUUGCUUUAUGGCUGUCUGGGAGCAUCCAGGUCUGCCCAGGCACAGAGCCACCCAGAUGGCUGCUGCACAGCUAACCUGUGCAUGUCCUCAGCUUAGUUUUUGCCCGUGGAAGCAGAACAGACAGCUGAUACAUCUGCAGAUCAUACCCAUCCAUUUCUGGGUUCAAGCACUGGAGAAGCUCCAAUGAAUCCUUCUGUAAUACUUUUGGUGAGCAAGUGAGCAAUCAAUCAAAUCCUUUAAAGCUGCACCUUUCCAAACCCAUUCACAUUUUAUUUUCUCUGGUGUAGAGUGUACUUUUCAGCUUCUUUUACUCCCAGUGUCCUGGUGACAAUUGAUCCUUAUCUUUCUUUGGCAAAUGAGGUAAUCUCCAGCCACUAUAAAAUACUGCAUAUAUUAAUCAAAUACAAUCCAUCCCAUGAGCCUGAAGGAGCAUUUCACAAAAGACGCUGCAUCUGCACCGAUGUUUUACUUCCUUGGCUGUCCAUGGAUGCGUUCAAGUGGAGAGGGGAGGAACAUGGGUGUAAUUAUUGUCAGAACAGAGAGAAGAAUCCUACAGAUAAAAGGUCCUGCAGAAUUCUUUUUAGUCUUACUUGGAAAGGAAAAUAAAAAAAAAGAAAAGCUUUAAACUGUAGACUUUCCCAUUAUGGUUAUUACUGGAAUUACAGUAAUGCUACAGCAGGACACACCUAUAGGCAAGAAAUGUGUGUGAUCACAUUCAACACUUAGAGACUGUUGUUUUGAAGAGGGUGGGAAGACUUUGUGACCGUACACAGCAAAGCAAGGCUCUGUAAGCGCCCCGGAGGGUCUGCCUUUCCACUGCCGAGUCCUGCUGUAACACUGCUCCCCAUGUAAUUUGCACUCAGGUUAAUAAGAUAUGAUUUCAAGUCAUUUCCAGUCUGUAAUGAAGUUGGAAAAAGAACCUGAAAUGGUGCCACAAAGCUCCAGCAGUUUUGUGAACCUUAAACCCUAGCUCGCCAUGUCGUGGAACGCAACUCAGAAUGCGAUACGUGAAUCAAACUGAUAAUUCUUUGGGUCACUUUUGAUACUGGAAUUAAACAGUCACGGGCAUUAAAAUUUCUUACCAUUUUAAUACUGACUUGGAAAAAGGUUUGUGAAGCAUCCUCUAAGUAGAAAAUUUUGCUUACGUUACUCAAGCAUUUCUAAAAAUCCUGCUUUAUCAUUAUUAUUAUUAUUAUUUUUAAGGAAAAACAAAAAAUCCAUUGACCUUCUAGAAACUUCACAGAAAACCAGCAGAGAGCAGCUACCCACUCCAGCCUGCUAUCAGCAAAAGACCAAGAGCAUAACUCACUGUCCAUAAAUCUAACGCCUUUCCUGAGUUCCAUUUGAUCAGCAACAAAAACAGCUUCUGCCAAAGUUUUCAGCCCCAUGAAUGUCUCUAUCUAGUAUUGGUCAAAGCCCAUGCAUUCACAAACGUAACUCCCAUUUCUCUCAUAUUAAUUUGGAAUAUUAGGCCAAAGGAAGCCUAGUAACUUUUUUAGGGUUCUCAAAGCUGUGAGAGGAUGGGUUUGCCACAUGGCUGUUGUUCUUUGCAUUAGGUAUGAUUAUAUACUGGGCACAUUCCAUAAGCGUCUAAGUACCUGAGAGUAAAAACACAUUCAUCUGAUAAUAAAUCCUUCCAGAAGAGGCUACUUUUGAGAUUUAGAAGCAAAUUCUUAUGACUGAAUCAUCGUCAUUCAAUUGUUCUCUUUUAAAAAUAAUUUCAUUAAGUAAACAAUUAAGUACGAUUAUAUGGAUUUAGAAAGCUUUUACUCCAACUCACUCUUGCAGUGACAAGUUAUAGCAUAAGCCUUAACACCACUUCUGACAAGACUGUGCCUAGACAAACAGCCCAACCUGGUCAUGGCCACGAGCCCUCAGUCAGAGGGAUCUUCACCCAGAAAGCUGAAUGUUGCUCAGCGUAAUUGGUCUUGGUCAGACAAGGAUGAAAACAAACCAGUGGCAUAUUUGCUCAUCUAGAUGCUUAGUGGCAGGCCCAAUGGGAGCAGAAUCAAUGUAUGUGUUCUCAGGAACACAGAGGUAUCACACGUAUUGCAGUCUACGAGCCUCCUCCCAGUUGUCAGUUUGACCGCUAUGCAUUUCACCUCUCCCAUUCUGAAGAAAUGGCUAAAACUUAAUGCAAAGGCUUCUGUGGCUGCAUAAGUGCUUAAAGUGUUUUCAUAAAUGCUUCCAGACUGAAGGCUUCUUCUAUCCAACUUCAGCUGAAAGUUCUCUUUUCCAAACAAAUGCUCCACCUAACUUAAUUUCUGUAGUUUGUUUCCAGAGAAAGAAUAAAGAGGAAUGGCACAGGUGUGUAAGUCACUAAAGUAAUUUUGAGAGAAGUCCUCCAGUGGACAACCACUGCUUUCUCUCUCCUCUUUUUAUUUUAAUAUCAUUGUGUGUAAUCUUAAUAGCUGCGUUUACUACAAAUUCCAUGUGAGCUUUUUGGUCGUUCACUUUCUGAAAGCACAGCCCUGAAGUGCACACUGAGGUUGUUAGUUCUCACUGGCUUGGCUCGCUUGCCUAACAGCUCCUUGAAGUGAUUAACAUUUUCCAUCAUCAGAUCCUACAAGGAAAAAAAAAAAAAAAAAAAGAAAAGAAAGCCUUAAUGACACUAAAAAAUAUUAGGAGCCAGCUAUUUCAUAGUACUGACUUGCUAAGGCAUCAUUAUUGCUAGUGCUACUGUUGUCCUUAAAUGCUGCACUGCUGGUUAUCAUGGAGGACUUUGGGAAAAAGAGAGUAUGGUGCUGAGACUUAUUGCAUUAAGAGAUCGGUUUAACAGAUUGUUUAGUUUUGGUAAUAUAAUUUGACAUCUAAACAUAAGCUGAGAGGGAUCUCCCACAAAACCUUUGAUAAUAUGAUUCAUUGUCAAAUGUUUGUUUUGCCUAUCUGGUACUCAUUAAUUAAUUCUUUUUAAUAUAUCUUGGAUUUACUGAUUUGGAAAAAGAGAAUUAUUCUUAUUGAUGUUGCUAAAAUAUCCAGGUGGCUUGAAUUUCACCAACUAGAUGGUAUAAUCUAGCACAUUUGUGUAGACCUAAUCAAAUAUCUACUAACAGAUGUGAAGAGCCCAGCAUGGGAGCAAAUGUUUGUGUCUAUAUGAUAAUUAAAUUACCUCAAUAAAGAGAAUAAAUGAACAAUGAUG
Molecule: long non-coding RNA, 7535 nt
Filed under: Gallus gallus (chicken)
Lineage: Eukaryota; Metazoa; Chordata; Aves; Galliformes; Phasianidae
Source: RNAcentral